Molecule: ribosomal RNA, 384 nt
Filed under: uncultured bacterium
Lineage: Bacteria
Description: bacterial SSU rRNA
Rfam family: Bacterial small subunit ribosomal RNA
Source: RNAcentral
GACGAACGCUGGCGGUGUGCUUCACACAUGCAAGUCGAACGGCAGCACGGGGGCAACCCUGGUGGCGAGUGGCGAACGGGUGAGUAAUACAUCGGAAUGUACCCAGUAGUGGGGGAUAACUAGUCGAAAGAUUAGCUAAUACCGCAUACGCACUAUGGUGGAAAGCGGGGGAUCGCAAGACCUCGCGCUAUUGGAGCAGCCGAUGUCCGAUUAGGUAGUUGGUGGGGUAAAGGCCUACCAAGCCUGCGAUCGGUAACUGGUCUGAGAGGACGACCAGUCACACUGGGACUGAGACACGGCCCAGACUCCUACGGGAGGCAGCAGUGGGGAAUUUUGGACAAUGGGGGAAACCCUGAUCCAGCAAUGCCGCGUGUGUGACGAAGG